Molecule: ribosomal RNA, 99 nt
Filed under: Spirochaetaceae bacterium
Lineage: Bacteria; Pseudomonadati; Spirochaetota; Spirochaetia; Spirochaetales; Spirochaetaceae
Source: RNAcentral
UCUGGUGAUUACAGCAGAGAGGUCACACCCGUUCCCAUCCCGAACACGGUAGUUAAGCUCUCUUGCGCCGAUGGUACUGCAGGUUAUCUGUGGGAGAGU